UAUGGACGGCGCAAGCGUUGUCCGGAAUCACUGGGCGUAAAGCGCGUGUAGGCGGCUUGGCCAGUCGGAUGUGAAAUCCCGAGGCUCAACCUCGGAACUGCACUCGAAACUGCCUGGCUCGAGUCCCGGAGAGGGUGGCGGAAUUCCCGGUGUAGGGGUGAAAUCCGUAGAUAUCGGGAGGAACACCAGUGGCGAAGGCGGCCACCUGGACGGUGACUGACGCUGAGACGCGAAAGCGCGGGCAGCAAACAGG
This 253-nucleotide ribosomal RNA is filed under the name uncultured bacterium. RNAcentral's name for it is "partial 16S ribosomal RNA". It matches the Rfam family "Bacterial small subunit ribosomal RNA", at positions 524 to 776 of the family's 1533-position model. The record is from RNAcentral.